CUUUCUUCUAAGUGUUCAUAAGACCAUUGACUUUUGUUUUAUCCCUUCGUAUACAAUAAUAUUCUCUUCUUCUCAGCCUUCAUUUUUCAUCCAUGGCGGAUUCAAUUCUUUUCAAUGUUGCUGCUAGUGUUAUUACUAAAUUGGGAUCUUCUGCACUUCGAGAACUUGGAUCUCUGUGGGGUGUCAACGAUGAGCUCGAUAAACUCCAAAACACUCUUUCGGCCAUUAAAGCCGUGCUUCUUGAUGCAGAGGAGCAACAAUCCAAGAGCCACACAGUCAAGGAUUGGAUUUCAAAGAUUAAAGAUGUUUUCUAUGACAUUGAUGACUUGAUUGACGAGUUCUCUUAUGAAACUUUGAGAAGACAAGUUCUUACCAAAGAUAGAACAACCACCAAACAAGUACGUAUCUUCUUCUCCAAAUCUAAUCAGAUUGCUUUUGGUUUCGAAAUGGGUCAAACAAUUAAAAAAGUUAGGGAGAAGCUAGAUGCUAUUGCGGCUGAUAAAGCUCAACUCCACCUUUCUGUGAGUGUGAGGGAGGUACGAGAUAAUGAGCCAAGGAAGGUACGAGAGACUUCCUCAUUCAUACUCGAGGGGGAAGUCAUUGGUAGGGAUGAGGAUAGGAAAUCUAUUAUGGAUUUUCUGCUGAAUACCAACAACAUCAUAAAGGAUAAUGUUGAAGUUGUUUCCAUUGUUGGAAUGGGAGGAUUAGGAAAGACAGCACUUGCUCAAGCUGUCUAUAAUGAUCGAAAAAUAAACAAUCAUUUUAAGUUGAAAAUGUGGGUGUGUAUUUCUGAAGAAUUUGAUAUCAAAGUAAUUGUUGAAAAACUUUUAGAGUCUAUUACGAAAACAAAACAAGAGUCCCUUCAGUUGGAUAUAUUACAAAGUAUGCUUCAAGAGAAAAUUGAUGGGAAAAAAUACUUGUUGGUCAUGGAUGAUGUGUGGAAUGGAGACCACGAGAAAUGGAUUGGUCUGAAAAGAUUUCUAAUGGGUGGUGCUAGAGGAAGUAAGAUUUUGGUGACAACCCGUAAUCUACAAGUUGCACAGGCUUCUGACACUGUUUGGUUCCAUCACUUAAAAGAACUUGACAAGGACAACUCUUGGGCGUUGUUUAGGAAAAUGGCAUUCUUAAACAAAGAAGAAGAGCUUGAGAAUUCAAAUUUGGUUAGAAUGGGUAAAGAGAUUGUAGGAAAGUUGAAAGGUUAUCCCCUUGCAAUAAGAGUAGUUGGACGUUUGUUAUAUUUCAAAAACACAGAAAUGGAUUGGUCGUCAUUCAAGGACAACGAACUUGACUCAAUUUUGCAACAAGAUGAUCAAAUUCAACCAAUAUUGAAGAUAAGUUUUAACCACCUUCCACCUAAUUUGAAGCAAUGUUUUACGUAUUGUGCUUUGUUUCCCAAAGAUUAUGAGUUUAAAAAGGAAGGAUUGGUAAAACAAUGGAUGGCACAAGGUUUCAUUCAACCACAUAAUAAAAAGGCAAUUGAAGAUGUGGGUGAGGAUUAUUUUAAAGAGUUAGUGGGGAGGUCAUUCUUUCAAGACGUAAGAAAAAACAAAUGGGGAGACUUCAAGUACUGUAAGAUGCAUGAUUUGUUACAUGAUCUUGCGUGUUCGAUGGGAGAAAAUGAAUGUGCGGUUGUAAGUGAUGAUGUUGGGUCCAUUGACAAAAGGACUCGACAUGCCUCUUUUCUCUUAAGCAAGAGGACAACAAGGGAAGUUGUAACAAAAUCAUUCACUGAGGUAACGAGUUUGAGAACAUUGGAUAUUGAUAGUAGUGCUUCUUUCCGUUCUUUCAAGAAAACUUAUCACAUGAACCUUUCCCGAUUACGAACAUUGAAUUUGGAUAGAUGUUGUUGUCAUCCUCCUAAGUUUAUUGAUAAGUUGAAACAUUUGAGAUAUCUUAAUCUUUCUGGUUUGAAUGUAAGUUUCCUUCCCAAUUCUAUUACCAGAUUGUAUAAUUUGGAAACACUUAUCCUUCGCCACUGCUUUUGGCUAAGAAAAUUACCAAAAGAUAUUAACAAUUUGAUCAAUCUCAGGCAUCUUGAUAUUUAUGAUUGUUGCAGUUUGACUCACAUGCCAAAAGGCUUAGGUGGGAUGACCAACCUUCAGACAAUGAGUAUGUUCGCAUUAGGAAAGAAUAAAGGUGGUGACUUAAGUGAAUUGAAUGGACUAAAAAGCUUGAGAGGAUUAUUGAGUAUUAAAGGUUUACAAUUUUGCACAACUACUGAUUUGAAAAAUGUAAGCUACUUGAAAGAAAUGUAUGGAAUCCAAAAGUUGGAAUUACACUGGAACAUAAAAAUGGAUCAUGAAGAUAUCUUAGAUGAUGGUGAUGAAGAUGAUGAGGGAGUUUUGGAGUGCUUAAAACCACAUUCAAAUGUUCGCAAAAUGAUUAUAAAAGGAUACAGAGGAAUGAAGUUAUGUGAUUGGUUUUGUUCUAAUUUCCUGGGUGGUUUGGUUAGCAUAGAGCUUUCACAUUGUGGAAAUUUGGAGCAUCUCCCACAGUUUGAUCAAUUCCCAUAUCUCAAGCAUCUUCUUCUUGGAUACUUGCCCAAUAUUGAAUACAUCGAUAGCAGCAAUUCUGUUUCUUCAACAACAUUUUUUCCAUCCCUUGAGAAACUAAGGAUUGAGAGCAUGCCCAAGUUGAAAGGGUGGUGGAAGGGGGAAAUUUCAUGUCCAACAACAUUACAUCAACUCUCAGAAUUAUGUAUUUUUUAUUGUCCUCUGUUGGCUUCUAUUCCACAACAUCCAUCUUUGGAAUUAUUGAGAAUACGUGGUGUCAGUGUGCAACUUUUUGAAAUGGUAAUACGAAUGGCUACUAACCUUUCUGAACAUUCUUCUUCUUCUUCAACAUUGUCUAAAUUAUCUUUCCUUGAGAUUGGAACUAUUGAUCUUGAGUUAUUGCCAGUGGAGUUAUUCUGCAAUAUGACACAUCUUGAGUCUCUUAUCAUAGAACGAUGCAAAAGUUUACAAAUUUCUUCUCCCCAUCUUGUCGAUGAGGAUAAUGGUGAUGUAGUAUGGAAAAAACUCCUUAAUCUCCGGACACUUCGGCUUGAGAGCAUUACCAAAUUGGAGUAUUUGCCCAAGAGUUUGAAAUAUAUCGCAAGUCUUGAAACUUUGAAGCUAUCAAAUUGUGAAAAUUUAGUGAGUAUCGAGGGGAUUGGGAAACUCACUUCACUAUCACAUUUGGAAAUUGAUAGAUGUCCUAAUUUACCUUUAUUGUCGGAAGAUGUCGGCGACCUCAUUUCCCUAUCACAGUUGCUUAUUUGGAGUUGUCCCAAAUUAACUUCCUUGCCAGAAGGAAUCACUCGCCUCACUUCACUCUCAAGUUUGUGUCUUGAAGAUUGUCCCAAUUUAGUCUCCUUGCCCCAAGAAUUUCUCCACCACCACAGCUCCUUACCAGGAGGACGGUUCUUGAGAAUUUUGAACUGUCCCAAAUUGCGGAUUCAAGACGAGAAACAAAAGGAAGAAGAAAAAGAAGACAAGGAGGAUUGGACUGACUUCACACAUGCCUUGACGGGAUGUAGGCACACAUUACGUUACUGGUUUUAAGAGCUUCAAAAAGCCGAACGUCAUAUGAUCUCUACUCCAAGGAAUAAAGUUAUGGUUUUCAACUCUGUAGGUUUGUUUUCACCAUGAAAUAGUCAGUAAUGGUUUCAAUAUAUAUAUGAUUGCAUCAACAGAAGUCAAAUCCCAAGAACAGACAAUGAUCACAAAAUGGUGGGUAAUUAUAUAAUUGCAUUUCUUCUGCUCUCGAUAUUUUUCCUUAGACUAACAACCUACCAAUUUAAUUUGGUUUCUUUUUUUCAAAGGUCACCCUCUGAGUUGAGAGUCAGGAGAAAUGGCUUGUAAUACUAACAAUACUAUUCUUUUAAAAUGAGGCCUUUGUGUGGUCAAUAUCAUACAAAAAGAAAGAGAAAAAUAUCUGUUCUAAAUUUGGGUUUACUUCAUGUCCUUCUCUUUCCCUGAGUUUCUUUUGGACGUUUUCCCUUCACAAUAAUUCCAACUUCAUCACAUCUCUCUUGAGCCUUUCUCCAAAUUAUAUACUCCAAUGUAUCAUUAUAACUUUUUUCUAAAUAUACUAAAAUAUCAAAGGAUAUAACCUUUUUAUUAUUAUUGAUAGUGAAUAAUUUUUUAUUAUACUCACCUGGUUUUUUGUUAUUGACUUGGGAAUGUUUUUCCUACACUAAAAUUAAAUUUCAUCUAUGAUGGUUGAUCCUUUCCUUUUGAUAAUUAAAAAAUACAAAGAUUUAUAAUUGGUUAUUUAAGAUGGUACCAAACCAAGUGAUUUAAAAGAUUGAGAUACAAAUAUAAUAAUUAGAUUCAAAAUAUUAGUAUAUAUAUAGCAAUAUUUUAACAAAAUUACGAGUAUAACAAAAUUUGUCAAAAAUUAUCACUAAUAGAUCAUAAGAUUUUUACCGCUAACUAAAACAUUAACAAACUUUCCUUUUGAUUGAUACAAAAUUUCUUUUAUGUCCAAAUUAAACACAUACAAAACAAAAAACCAGCAGCCCCAACACCAAAGACACAUAGCUAGCGGCAACAAACUCCCCCUUUAACCUAUUUUGUAAACAAUACCUUGUGUUUCUUUUUAUUGAUAUGUAGUUUUUAACUUUUUUUUUUAAUAAAUAAACUUGAUAUCAUUUAAAAUCGACUUAAUAUCACUAAAUGAAAUUGCUCUAACGUGACAUUUCACACUUUUCAUAUGCAAGUCUGUCAUAUUUGAAAAUGUUUAAAAUGUACUAUAGAAAAAAUCCACCAGUCAAUUCUCUGACUAAGUCUUAUUAUACUUUUUGCAAUUAUCAGUCUUCAAUGUUUUAUUUAAUGGUGUUUUCAACGCUUUUCUUUCUCUCUCACGUUUUAUUAACCAUUUGAGUGAAGAGAGACUACAUCAUACUGCGAGUUUCCCUAUGACUUUUGGAAUUAGUAUGGCUGACUGGUUCACCAAGUUAGAGCAAAUGCUGCACAAUCUUCCGUCAUCCAAUAUUCGAAAGGUUGCAAUUGUGACACUAAACAACCCAAGUGAGAUAUCCAAAUGUAUGUGUGAAUCCGAGCAAAGUCCUACAUUGGUCAGAUAAGAGGAUGAUCUUGGGUAUAUAAGUAAGGACAACAAUCUCUAUUGAUAUGAGACCUUUUGGGAUGAUACAAAAAGCAAAGCUACGAGAGUAUAUACCCAAAGUAGACAAUAUCGUCAUACCAUUAUGGAGAUAUUCGGGGGUGUGUCGAAAAAAGAUGUAGUAAAGCCUCAAAAGUAAGUCACCAGAUUCGUGGUUAGACUCUAUCAAAUGGGCCGCGUGAAUAUCCAAUUAAAGACAUCAUAUUCAAAUUGGGCUCUUCCGCACUCCAGGAGCUUGGUUCGCUAUGGCGUGUCAAUUCUGAACUUCACAAACUCAAACACUCUCUUUCUGCCAUUCAAGCCGUGCUUCUCGACGCCGAGGAGCAACAAUCCAAGAACAAUCAAGUCAAAGAUUGGGUUUUAAAGCUUCAAGAUGUUUUGUACGAGAUUGAUGACUUGAUCGACGAGUCAUCUUACGAAACCUUGAGAAGGCAAGUUCUGGCCAAACACCGAAGGACGAGAAAACAAAAAUGAGAAGACCAUUUUUGGUGUAUGCAUCUGUGGAGGACACAAAGAAACAGAGAUUUACCCAAAACAACAUUGCGUGAAGGAUAAUGUCAUACAAUUGGGUGGCCUUUUUAACUUAGUUUUUCUUUUCUUUUUUCCUUUCUUUCUUUCUUUUAUGUAAUAUUAUUACAUAUUAUCAAGUUGUCUAAAUGUUUAUCUUGACAUGGAUCGGAUUUGUUUGUGUACCUAUUAUUAUUGUUGAUAGUGGAUAAUUUGACUAUGGUCA
Cucumis melo (muskmelon) is the source of this 5839-nucleotide RNA transcript. It is a transcript of the gene named putative disease resistance protein RGA4, with no coding region annotated. The transcript is spliced from 5 exons. NCBI's taxonomy places the organism in Eukaryota, Viridiplantae, Streptophyta, Magnoliopsida, Cucurbitales, Cucurbitaceae. The record is from RefSeq and is a predicted model, not a curated record.